GGGCCUAUAGCUCAGCGGAAGAGCCACCGGCUCAUAACCGGCAGGUCCCAGGUUCGAAUCCUGGUAGGCCCA
Molecule: transfer RNA, 72 nt
Filed under: Acidobacteriota bacterium
Lineage: Bacteria; Pseudomonadati; Acidobacteriota
Also listed under: 4 other names
Description: tRNA-Ile
Rfam family: tRNA
About the family: Transfer RNA (tRNA) molecules are approximately 80 nucleotides in length.
Source: RNAcentral